RNAcentral lists this ribosomal RNA (887 nucleotides) under Radulodon americanus. Its description in RNAcentral is "LSU rRNA". It matches the Rfam family "Eukaryotic large subunit ribosomal RNA", at positions 72 to 943 of the family's 3401-position model. The record is from RNAcentral. Lineage: Eukaryota; Fungi; Basidiomycota; Agaricomycetes; Polyporales; Cerrenaceae.
GGAUUCCCCUAGUAACUGCGAGUGAACCGGGAAAAGCUCAAAUUUAAAAUCUGGCAGUCUUUGGCUGUCCGAGUUGUAGUCUGGAGAAGCGUCUUCCGCGCUGGACCGUGUAAAAGUCCCCUGGAAUGGGGCCUCAUAGAGGGUGAGAAGCCCGUCUUUGACAUGGACUGCCAGUGCUUUGUGAUGCGCUCUCGAAGAGUCGCGUUGUUUGGGAAUGCAGCGCAAAAUGGGUGGUAAAUUCCAUCUAAAGCUAAAUAUAGGCGAGAGACCGAUAGCGAACAAGUACCGUGAGGGAAAGAUGAAAAGCACUUUGGAAAGAGAGUUAAACAGUACGUGAAAUUGCUGAAAGGGAAACGCUUGAAGUCAGUCGCGUUAUGCAGAACUCAGCCCGGCUUUGGCUAGGUGUAUUUUCUGUAUGACGGGCCAGCAUCAGUUUUGGCCGCUGGAAAAGGGCUCCGGGAAUGUGGCACCUUCGGGUGUGUUAUAGCCUGGGGGUCGCAUGCAGUGGCUGGGACUGAGGUCUGCAGCACGCCUUUAUGGCUGGGGUUCGCCCACAUUCGUGCUUAGGAUGCUGGCGUAAUGGCUUUAAGCGACCCGUCUUGAAACACGGACCAAGGAGUCUAACAUGCCUGCGAGUGUUUGGGUGGAAAACCCGAGCGCGCAAUGAAAGUGAAAGUCGGGAACCCUGUCGCGGGGUGCACCGAUGCCCGGCCCAGAGCUUUUUGUGACGGUGCUGCGGUGGAGCAUGUAUGUUGGGACCCGAAAGAUGGUGAACUAUGCCUGAAUAGGGUGAAGCCAGAGGAAACUCUGGUGGAGGCUCGUAGCGAUUCUGACGUGCAAAUCGAUCGUCAAAUUUGGGUAUAGGGGCGAAAGACUAAUCGAACCAU